RNAcentral lists this ribosomal RNA (758 nucleotides) under uncultured bacterium. RNAcentral's name for it is "bacterial SSU rRNA". It matches the Rfam family "Bacterial small subunit ribosomal RNA", at positions 8 to 796 of the family's 1533-position model. The record is from RNAcentral.
AGAGUUUGAUCAUGGCUCAGAAUCAACGCUGGCGGCGCGCUUAACACAUGCAAGUCGCACGAGAAAGCGGGAGCAAUCUCGCAAGUACAGUGGCGUACGGGUGAGUAACACGUGGGUAAUCUACCUUUUAGUGGGGAAUAACGCUGGGAAACCGGCGCUAAUACCGCAUAAUCUCGAGAGAGGAAAGCAGCAAUGCGCUGAAAGAGGAGCCCGCGGCCGAUUAGCUAGUUGGUAGGGUAAAAGCCUACCAAGGCAUAGAUCGGUAGCCGGCCUGAGAGGGCACACGGCCACACUGGCACUGAAACACGGGCCAGACUCCUACGGGAGGCAGCAGUGGGGAAUCUUGCACAAUGGGGGCAACCCUGAUGCAGCGACGCCGCGUGAGCGAUGAAGCCCUUCGGGGUGUAAAGCUCUUUCGGCAGGGACGAUAAUGACGGUACCUGCAGAAGCAGCUGCGGCUAACUACGUGCCAGCAGCCGCGGUAAUACGUAGGCAGCGAGCGUUGUUCGGAGUUACUGGGCGUAAAGGGUGUGUAGGCGGUUUUCUAAGUUUGGUGUGAAAUCUCCCGGCUCAACCGGGAGGGUGCGCCGAAAACUGGGAGACUAGAGUGCGGGAUGGGAGAGUAGAAUUCCUGGUGUAGCGGUGAAAUGCGUAGAUAUCAGGAGGAAUACCGGUGGUGUAGACGGCUCUCUGGACCGCCACUGACGCUGAGACACGAAAGCGUGGGUAGCAAACAGGAUUAGAUACCCUAGUAGUCC